RNAcentral lists this ribosomal RNA (458 nucleotides) under uncultured bacterium. Its description in RNAcentral is "bacterial SSU rRNA". It matches the Rfam family "Bacterial small subunit ribosomal RNA", at positions 34 to 478 of the family's 1533-position model. The record is from RNAcentral.
GGCCGCGGGAAUUCGAUUCAGGCCUAACACAUGCAAGUCGAACGGCAGCACGGACUUCGGUCUGGUGGCGAGUGGCGAACGGGUGAGUAAUACAUCGGAACGUACCCAGUAAUGGGGGAUAACUAUCCGAAAGGAUAGCUAAUACCGCAUACGCCCUACGGGGGAAAGAGGGGGAUCGCAAGACCUCUUGUUAUUGGAGCGGCCGAUGGCUGAUUAGCUAGUUGGUGAGGUAAAGGCUCACCAAGGCGACGAUCAGUAGCGGGUCUUAGAGGACGAUCCGCCACACUGGAACUGAGACACGGUCCAGACUCCUACGGGAGGCAGCAGUGGGGAAUCUUGGACAAUGGGCGCAAGCCUGAUCCAGAAGGGCCGCGUGCGUGAAGAAGGCCUUCGGGUUGUAAAGCGAUUGUGUCAGGGAGCAAAAGGUGGUGGCUAAUAUCCAUCGCUCUUGAGAGUAC